RNAcentral lists this long non-coding RNA (1213 nucleotides) under Salvator merianae (Argentine black and white tegu). Its description in RNAcentral is "lncRNA (ENSSMRG00000018174.1)". The record is from RNAcentral. Lineage: Eukaryota; Metazoa; Chordata; Lepidosauria; Squamata; Teiidae.
CCUUUAUCCAGCUCUGUAGUGCAACUGCUAUUGAGCAAGCCCAGUUUUUUGCUGCCAGCUACGGAAAAAAAGAGGGGCCACUUUGACGGACUGUUUAGAUGGUCCAGCANAGCUUUUUUAUGCCCCUGGAAAGCAGCCUCUGGACAGAGAAAGAGAAAUGAGAGAAUAAUAGGCCCUUAGCAAAGAGAGCAGGAUGAAGCCCUCGUAUCUUCCAGUGUGAGAUCAAGAACAUGACCCAAAUGCAAUAGUAAAUAAACCACAAUCUCAGCUCCCUUCUGAACUGUAAACCAUGGCUCAUUUGAACUACACCUAACAGCAACAAGAACACCAUGGAUUGUUAUUAUUUCAUGAUCACGCAGUCUGUAAACGUUUAUGCCGGGUGUGAUGGUACUCUGACCACCAGAUCCUUCUCAAGGACCUAGGAUAAGAAGAGAAGAAUGUGGGCUGUUCCUAGGAGGGCUGCUUUUGUAGCUGUAGUGCCAAAGUGACGGGUAGUGAUGAGUAGUGACUUUGUCAAUGCCCAAGGUAUUUCUUCUUGUUGUUUUAGUUAUGUGACUAUAGGAGCUUCUGCUACAGAACAUGGUAGUGAACUCUGUAUUUUGAUGAAGUGUUGGAGGUAGAAGAUGUGAGCAGACCUUCUCUGUGGGCAGGUGGAAAGCCGAUUUCUCUCAUCCUUUUCCUAGCGCUCUGGGCAUCAUUCUGCGAGGGCACAGCUGCAGUUGGCAUUUCCCUCCUACGCUCUGGCUGCUCUAGUCGAUCUUCCGCUCCUGUUGCAAAGGUGUAGGACGUGCAUUGCCACUAUCGCAGUCCCCAGGAGCCCGUGUGCCCAUCUCCUUUCCAAGUUGGCAUGCCCACUGUUGCACGACUCACUGACAUUAAAUGAAUCAUGAUGCUGCUAAAUUUANAGAUACCUAAUCAGAAUGGUAUCUNGAAGAACAUCCAGGAAGAAUGGAACAGAAGCUCAUAUGUAAGAAGCGAUCAAGAAAGAAAAUCACCACCAUGUGUAGGAGCCCUGGAAGAAACAGACUGGAAAGCAAACACAAGCAUAUGGUGAAUGACACAAAGAAGCAUUUUCUUUGGCUUACAGAUCAUCAUUAUUANGUUGAUGAUGUCCAAAUACACUCACGGAAUUCUUGGUAUGAAAUUCUCUGACACCCAGGCACAAGAGCUCCUAAACUGUGGUGUAGAAUAAAACAAAUGCUCUCUCAACCCA